This 497-nucleotide ribosomal RNA is filed under the name uncultured bacterium. RNAcentral describes it as "partial 16S ribosomal RNA". It matches the Rfam family "Bacterial small subunit ribosomal RNA", at positions 28 to 507 of the family's 1533-position model. The record is from RNAcentral.
GACGAACGCUGGCGGCGUGCCUAAUACAUGCCAGUUGAGCGCUGAAGGUUGGUACUUGUACCAACUUGAUGAGCAGCGAACGGGUGAGUAACGCGUGGGGAAUCUGCCUUUGAGCGGGGGACAACAUUUGGAAACGAAUGCUAAUACCGCAUAAAAACUUUAAACACAAGUUUUAAGUUUGAAAGAUGCAAUUGCAUCACUCAAAGAUGAUCCCUCGUUGUAUUAGCUAGUUGGUGAGGUAAAGGCUCACCAAGGCGAUGAUACAUAGCCGACCUGAUAGGGUGAUCGGCCACAUUGGGACUGAGACACGGCCCAAAAGCCUACGGGAGGCAGCAGUAGGGAAUCUUCGGCAAUGGACGAAAGUCUGACCGAGCAACGCCGAGUGAGUGAAGAAGGUUUUCGGAUCGUAAAACUCUGUUGGUAGAGAAGAACGUUGGUGAGAGUGGAAAGAUCAUCAAGUGACGGUAACUACCCAGAAAGGGACGGCUAACUACGUG